This 681-nucleotide transfer RNA is filed under the name Bradyrhizobium sp. TUTAHSA7. RNAcentral's name for it is "partial 16S-23S ribosomal RNA intergenic spacer". The stretch from base 160 to 233 matches the Rfam family "tRNA". Lineage: Bacteria; Pseudomonadati; Pseudomonadota; Alphaproteobacteria; Hyphomicrobiales; Nitrobacteraceae. The record is from RNAcentral.
UAUCGGAUCGUUUUAGAAACAUCAGUGGCCAACAGAUCGCCAGAUCGUUGAGCUGCAUUGGCGGGAUUUCGCCGUCUUCGUUUCUCUUUCUUCGCGGACGAACACGCGCUGGGACUGCUUCAAGCAGGAUCCCACGGUCCCUGACGGGAUAGGCGUUAGGGGCUUGUAGCUCAGUUGGUUAGAGCGCGCGCUUGAUAAGCGUGAGGUCGGAAGUUCAAGUCUUCCCAGGCCCACCACUUUCAUCGAGUGAGCAUUCGUCUUCUGGUUACGGGGCCAUAGCUCAGCUGGGAGAGCGCGUGCUUUGCAAGCAUGAGGUCGUCGGUUCGAUCCCGUCUGGCUCCACCAGAUGGUUUGAUCAUCGACACUGUGCACCGUCGUCCGCGAAACAUCACUUCGCAUCCUGCUAGUCUGGAUAGACAGCAAGAUGCGUGUUUUCUGACAUCGUAAAGAGGAGAUCGAUCCGAGUUGGGUCGUGUAGCAGAUUGCUGCGCGGGCCUUCAUUAUCUCCGGAUCAUUUUCGGCGCUCGACGCUGACCGCAAGGUUGGCUGCGAGUUGUAAAAUGAUCCUUUUAGCGAAGCUUGACCGCCUCGCUAUCGGAACGAUCUUACGAAGCAAGCUGGUCUUUCUAGUCAAUGUCCGGCUGCAGAUAGCGUUCAUCGAGGGCGCGUGCCCAAGAGAUU